AUGGUGCGGCGGUGUUGGCUUGGCGGCAACCAAUGCUCGAUUGGUGGUGCUCUCCCUCCUCCUCGGCCGUGUGGAUGGCAUGGCGGCAACCAAUGCUCGAUUGGUGGUGCUCUCCCNNNGGCUGCUGGAGGGGUGGUAGCGGACCGGGAGAAAUCCCUGGCUGGAUUCCCGGCCACGACGACGGCGACACCUCCUGGUGCCGUCUUCCUCCUUGGAGGCGCCGUCGAGGUGCGUUUACCCCCUUCCCUCCCACUCUCAUGCCCGGGUGAAAACUCUAGUCUCUACAGACUGGGCGGCAGCGGCGUUUCAUGCGUCGUCAUCUUCCUGAAGGUGCCGCCUUGGGUGAGUUGGGGGUGUGCAGGGGCGAUGGGUGUGGUUGUCAAGUGUGUGGCGGCUUUGCAGGUGGAGGUGGCGCCAUGGUCUUCUUGUUGGGGCAGUGCUUUCCUACUAUUUGUUUGUUCGUUGCCUGACUUGUGGCUGUUUGCUCGCCGGCUGUCAGUGCCAUGGCAUGGGCGGGGUGAAGAUAGGGUUCUUUCCCCAUUGGCAGCAACAGGGCGUGGAAGGCUUGAACUUGGUGCUGAUUCCAGCGGGUGCUGCCCUGCUAUCUGCAUUGGCUGCCUAGGAUCCUCUGCUUGCAAGUUCUUCAUCAACCUAGCACAACAACAGCUUCUCUUCCUUGGGUGUGGAUUAUUGUGUCUCGACGAGGCUCUUCGUUUGGUGUUCUUAGCGCAGCAGGUGGGUCGUGCUGAGAAUCUCCCAUGGUGA
RNAcentral lists this ribosomal RNA (765 nucleotides) under Triticum aestivum (bread wheat). Its description in RNAcentral is "partial small subunit ribosomal RNA". Lineage: Eukaryota; Viridiplantae; Streptophyta; Magnoliopsida; Poales; Poaceae. The record is from RNAcentral.